GAUGAACGCUGGCGGCGUGCCUAAUACAUGCAAGUCGAGCGAACAGACGAGGAUCUUGCUCCUCUGACGUUAGCGGCGGACGGGUGAGUAACACGUGGAUAACCUACCUAUAAGACUGGGAUAACUUCGGGAAACCGGAGCUAAUACCGGAUAAUAUAUUGAACCGCAUGGUUCAAUAGUGAAAGACGGUUUUGCUGUCACUUAUAGAUGGAUCCGCGCCGCAUUAGCUAGUUGGUAAGGUAACGGCUUACCAAGGCAACGAUGCGUAGCCGACCUGAGAGGGUGAUCGGCCACACUGGAACUGAGACACGGUCCAGACUCCUACGGGAGGCAGCAGUAGGGAAUCUUCCGCAAAGGGCGAAAGCUUGACGGAGCAACGCCGCGUGAGUGAUGAAGGUCUUCGGAUCGUAAAACUCUGUUAUUAGGGAAGAACAAAUGUGUAAGUAACUAUGCACGUCUUGACGGUACCUAAUCAGAAAGCCACGGCUAACUACGUG
RNAcentral lists this ribosomal RNA (497 nucleotides) under uncultured bacterium. RNAcentral describes it as "partial 16S ribosomal RNA". It matches the Rfam family "Bacterial small subunit ribosomal RNA", at positions 28 to 507 of the family's 1533-position model. The record is from RNAcentral.